Long non-coding RNA from Solanum verrucosum, 482 nucleotides. RefSeq lists it as uncharacterized. The record is from RefSeq and is a predicted model, not a curated record. NCBI's taxonomy places the organism in Eukaryota, Viridiplantae, Streptophyta, Magnoliopsida, Solanales, Solanaceae. The transcript has 3 exons.
UUUCAUUGUUUUUAGAUCAGUAAACCAUAGGUAAACUAUGUAGUCCAGCCGUCUGAAAUGCCUACAAAAUCUCUUUUGGUCGUUGGGGCUCACUAGAGCUCGCCGGUGGUGUUAGCUUCUAAGCUCGUUGUUCCAAGACGCUACCCUCAAAAAGGAAAGUGAAUUAUGCAGACGAAAAUUCUGAAAGGCAUUUUUGAGGUCAUGAUGAUAAUGAUGACGAGGACAACAACAACAAAGGACAGAAAGAAUUAACACAUCUGGAACUUGAAGUUGGAGGCAGAUUUGAAAGAAUACAAUAUCUUCAACAUUAAACUAUUGGAGUAGAUUGCAGUUACUAACUCAAGCAAAAACAUGGUUGGAAUUGAUGUGUAAGAUGAUACAUGUGCCUUAAAAGGAAGGUGAAGUCAUCAUCCAGUGAAGUGACUGAAUAUGUGUCAGCUAUAUCAAGUGCAUGUAAUACUAUCAUUAUUUUGAUUCGGAUG